RNAcentral lists this ribosomal RNA (502 nucleotides) under uncultured bacterium. RNAcentral's name for it is "partial 16S ribosomal RNA". It matches the Rfam family "Bacterial small subunit ribosomal RNA", at positions 30 to 523 of the family's 1533-position model. The record is from RNAcentral.
AUUGAACGCUGGCGGCAUGCCUUACACAUGCAAGUCGAACGGCAGCAUAGGAGCUUGCUCCUGAUGGCGAGUGGCGAACGGGUGAGUAAUAUAUCGGAACGUGCCCUAGAGUGGGGGAUAACUAGUCGAAAGACUAGCUAAUACCGCAUACGAUCUACGGAUGAAAGUGGGGGAUCGCAAGACCUCAUGCUCCUGGAGCGGCCGAUAUCUGAUUAGCUAGUUGGUGGGGUAAAAGCUCACCAAGGCGACGAUCAGUAGCUGGUCUGAGAGGACGACCAGCCACACUGGGACUGAGACACGGCCCAGACUCCUACGGGAGGCAGCAGUGGGGAACUUUGGACAAUGGGGGCAACCCUGAUCCAGCAAUGCCGCGUGAGUGAAGAAGGCCUUCGGGUUGUAAAGCUCUUUUGUCAGGGAAGAAACGGUUCUGGAUAAUACCUGGGACUAAUGACGGUACCUGAAGAAUAAGCACCGGCUAACUACGUGCCAGCCGCCGCAGUAA